This 391-nucleotide ribosomal RNA is filed under the name Loxosceles rufescens. RNAcentral describes it as "partial 16S ribosomal RNA". It matches the Rfam family "Archaeal large subunit ribosomal RNA", at positions 2007 to 2673 of the family's 2987-position model. Lineage: Eukaryota; Metazoa; Arthropoda; Arachnida; Araneae; Sicariidae. The record is from RNAcentral.
GCCGCAGUUUCCUGUGCUAAGGUAGCGCAAUAACUUGCCUUCUAAUUAAAGGAUCGUAUGAAAGGACACAUGACUUUCUUAUUUUCUCAUAUAUUUUAAAAUAAAUUUAACCUACAAGUAAAAAGACUUGUAUUAACAAGAAAGACGACAAGACCCUAUAGAACUUCACUAUUGUUAAACUGGGGUGGUCAACAACAAAAGCUUAUCCUCCCAAACCACACAAAGACCUGAAACUUUCAACAAAAGAACAAGUUACCUUAGGGAUAACAGAGUAAUUCCUCUCUAGACCUGUUCCAAAGAGGAGCUUUCUACCUCGAUGUUGAAUUUAAUAUUACUUCAUAAAUAAACAUUAUACAAGUAGGUCUGUUCGACCUUUAAAAUAUUACAUGAU